This 469-nucleotide ribosomal RNA is filed under the name uncultured bacterium. RNAcentral's name for it is "bacterial SSU rRNA". It matches the Rfam family "Bacterial small subunit ribosomal RNA", at positions 28 to 507 of the family's 1533-position model. The record is from RNAcentral.
GACGAACGCUGGCGGCGUGCCUGACACAUGCAAGUCGGACGGUUCUUGCACCUUCAAGCUUGCUUGCUGGUGCAAGGAUAGUGGCGGACGGGUGAGUAACGCGUGAACAUCUACCCAUUGGAGGGGGACAACCCGUCGAAAGGCGGGCUAAUACCGCGUAAGCCGCGAGGUGAGAGGCUGCCUAUUGGUGGCCGCCGAUGGGAUGGGUUCGCGUCCUAUCAGCUGGUUGGUGGGGUAACGGCCUACCAAGGCGAAGACGGGUAGCCGGUCUGAGAGGAUGGCCGGCCACACUGGAACUGAGACACGGUCCAGACUCCUACGGGAGGCAGCAGUGGGGAAUAGUUGGGCAAUGGGGGUAACCCUGACCCAGCGACGCCGCGUGAGGGACGAAGGUUUUCGGGUCGUAAAGCACUUUUUGGAGGGAAUAGGAAGGAAGGUACCUCCAGAAUAAGUCUCGGCUAACUACGUG